UAUAUGAUAACUAAUUUAAAAAAUUAAAUUAAAAAAUUAAUAAUAAUAAUAAUAAUAAUAAAGACUGUAAAUAAAUAAAUAAAAGAAUGCAGCCCCAGUAGCUUGUAAGAACCUGAGCAGAGAGCUCUGCCACGUCAUGCCCAGACUGAUGACCCCUGGAAACUGUGAGAUAAUAAAUGUGUGCUGUUGCAGUCUCUGGUUUUGCAGUAAUAGUGUUAACACAGCAAUAAAUAAGAAACGCAUCUGGGUUCUAGAAAGGCCUUGGUGCAUUCCCGGUGCUGCCUCCUGAAAUCAGAGGGCUUCUACCUGCUCCAGUCUCCCUCUGCUCCUCCACUUAGGGAAGCCUCAUGGGUAUUGUGGUGUAGCGUGGGGACUCUACUUAACAAGGGUUAAUUUAACAAAGUCACAACAGUAUCUUUACUUAUGAGUGAGAGUUUGGGGUUGGAUGCUUCCCAACAUUUCUUCCAUCUUGAGCUCCCCUGAUGCUACGAUGUAACCUACACACAGCACAGCACACUGCGGGGUUCCAAAGUGCCUUGAGAGGUAGGAUCCAAGAUGGGGUUCAAAACUAGGUCUUGAGUGACCAAAGGCCCCUACUCUUCCUUCUCUGCUAAAACACUUUGGAUUUUGCCAUUUACAUGGUCUAGUUGGACCCUUGGUAUAACAUUUGCACUCACUGAUCUACAACAUGCCAUUUUCCAUCACAGGCCUCAGCCCUGUUGUUUCACUUCUCACAUUUCCAACUUGACUGUCUGGAGAGGUGGAGAGAACAGGCCACUCACCAAUACUGGCUCUGAAGCACCAGACGUGGUAUUGGCACUGGUGCUCUACUGACACUGUUUUUCAAAAUGAUGGGAUGUGUUCACGAAGCCAGACAUAUUAUCCUGAAAAUGGUGCUGUGCAGUGUUGUUUUGCACCCCACCUGCCCCCCUUUAUAUUUCUUUGCCACCUGGAAGCUGCAGCUCUGUGUUUACUGCAGGGUGUCCUCCAGAGACUGUGAGAGCUGAUGCCUUCCUCCCACCGCCCGCUGGCAAGCUGGAAUUAAUUAUUCCCUCUCCUGGUCCUCACCUCACGCCAUUUUAUUUUUAAAAUAUUAACAACAGUAAAUUGGGACUUGCAUUUUUGCUCAAAAACAAACCAUUUCGUGCCUGUUUGCUUGGGGCCCACGGGUGAAAUUAGCCCUAAAGUCACAAGAUGUCACGAAGAGAGGGUUCUCUGAUCCCUUCGGCAGGAUACCAGAAGCAGCAAAACCUGCCAAAGUGCUUGACGGAUGCUGGUUGGAGGAGGACAGAUCAUGAGUGGGUGUGAGUUGGGUGUUUAAGGACCUAGAGAGUCAAAGAUGUGAUGAGGUUGGAGAAAUAGGUCAUCGUGCCCAGGGUCAGGGGGCCUGGAGGAUGGGAGGGACAGCCCACUGCCCUGAGAGAGGAUUUGGAACACCAAAGAGGCAGGGGUUAAUUCCCUGGAGCCAGCUUGAGAACAAGAUAUAAAAGAACAGGACAAAGAGGGGAGAGGGGAAGGAUUCUGGAAAAUGGUGGUACAGGGGCUGGGCGUGGUUGAGCCUUCUCUCAAAUCAGCAGAAUGGUCUCCUGACCUGACUGGGUGGCGGAUAUACUGGAUGGAGCUGAGACCUGAAGGUGGACCAGGAUGGGAAUCUCAGCUCUGCCGUUUUCAAGCUGAGGGACUUAAGGUAAUUUAUUUAACCUCACUGCAACUCAGAUUUCUCAUCUGUAAAAUGAAACUAAUAAUACCUCCUCGCAGGUUGUCAUGGGAAUCAAAUGAGAUGAUGUAUGCAAAAACCUUAGUUUACUGUGUAGCACAUUGAUGCCAAAUAAAUGGUACCCAGAAGGAGCUCAAUGAAUAGAUGUUGAACAAACACAGGACUAAACCAUUAAUGCGCCAAAGCUGGAGACAGGUAUUGUGAAGCUUGGGGUGUCUGGAGAUGACAGUCUGCAAAAUUGGAGGAGCCAUUCUUAAUGCUCCACCUGUAUCUCCUUGGCACCCACCUUUCCUGUACAUCCUAAGGUUCUCUACUCAAGCUAUGACUCACUGCCAGGGGGAUUUCUCUAGUCUCUGGAGUAGGCUUGGUCUUCCACAGGGCUGGAUGCAAGUUUAUACCCCUGGGAAUGGCCCUUAGCCACUGAAGGCUGGGAGCUGGUUCGCAAAUACUCCAGAUUCCUUGCCCUUCAAACGAAGCAAUUCAGGCCUGAGCUCCAACAGCUGGUAAUCUACUCACUAAUGCUCCUUGCAUUGGCUUCCUCCUCAUUCUUCCUCCUCAUCCCUGCUCACCUACCUGUGAUCCCUAGGAUCACCUCCCAAGUAAAAUAUGUGCACUCACAUCCUUCCUCACCUUCUGCUUCUGGGAGGACCCAACCUAAGAUAGCAUUCUGACUGAAGAAUUUAGAAACCUUUAAAUUUUUUUUUGGCAGGGGAGGGAGCUCAGUAAGGAAGCUGGUGCAGGAUCUGAAAGAGUGAACAGUUCUUCUGCUCCAGGUCUGAUCCUCAGGAGUCUGCCAUCUGAUACCUAAAGUGAGCUGAGAAAAGGACUGAGAGCAGGACUCAGAAUGCUCUUUGAAGUGCCGGACUAGACAGCUGGUUGUUGGGUCACCAUUUGAGGCCAAAGAUCUCUGAGGGUAACAGCAGACUGAGAGAUUUCCAGAUUGGAGUGUGGACUUGUGCUGGAGAAGAAAUUUGAAAGAGUUGGAGGCAGUAGCGUCAAGGCAGCCCAGGGCAAGAGCAGCAGCACUUAUCUGUGAGUCAGGAGUCCCGGAUGCAGCUCUCACCAUGCGGCUUUGAUCUGCCUGCUCAUAGCAAGAUUGCAUUUUCUGCUCCUCCAAGCUGCAAACCUCCUGAGAAAGGCAAGAGAACACUGGAUACGUGAAAGGAAAAGUUAGAAGCUGAUGUGUCUGAGGACAUUUUCUGGGAAGACAACUCAACAUGGAGCUCUUGUAUACCCUAUGCCAUCAUUCUAUCAGAGAAGCAGCAAAUAUGUGACCCUGAAAAUAAGAGUUAGCUGAAGCCACCAAUCUAUCCCCCUGGUGACUCUGGUAGGAAUGGACAGUGGCAUCAAAACUCUCUUUUUUCAGGGCACCUGGGUGGCUCAGUUGGUUAAGCAUCCGACUUCGGCUCAGGUCACGAUCUCACGGUUUGUGAGUUCGAGCCCCAUGUCAGGCUCUGUACUGACAGCUCAGAGCAUGGAGCCUGCUUUGGAUUCUGUGUUUCCCUCUCUCUCUGCCCCUUUCUCUUUUUUAACUGUGUAUUUGAUAUAUGUCUCUGUAUGUGAAACUGACUUAAAUCACUCACAGGCAAUGGUUUUUCAUCUCUGAAUAUAAAUCUGCUCCUAUCAAUGCUU
This is a long non-coding RNA of Felis catus (domestic cat), 3349 nucleotides long. RefSeq lists it as uncharacterized. Lineage: Eukaryota; Metazoa; Chordata; Mammalia; Carnivora; Felidae. The record is from RefSeq and is a predicted model, not a curated record. The transcript has 4 exons.